UCCAACUUGCAUAUAUCUUUCAAGAAUACUUGUCCAUAUAUUUGGCCCCCAUCUUUUUCUCAUCACUUCUUUUCUAUCUAAUAUUAUAUCCAUUUGCUAUAGUAUAUCUCUGAACAGUAUUCUUAAAUUCCUUAAGACCCUGAAACUUUAUUCCUAAUUCAAACUUCACAUCCUCACUAUCACACUUUGGAUUGUAGCAAGUGUGCCCUAUCGUUAUCUUACUUCUAGAUUCAAAUUGAUCAUCCUC
Molecule: long non-coding RNA, 247 nt
Filed under: Elaeis guineensis (African oil palm)
Lineage: Eukaryota; Viridiplantae; Streptophyta; Magnoliopsida; Arecales; Arecaceae
Description: long non-coding RNA (EGUI_LNC038868)
Source: RNAcentral